ACCAGUGUCCGGGUUCCCAUCACAAGGACACGUCCCAGCAAUCUAACUUCCUCCCAGUCUGUUCCACCUCUGAAAAGUCCCCCUGCCUCCCAGGAGCACCACAAGCCAGUGACCAAGGCUUUAACAUGUGCUUCAGGGUCCUGUUUUGGAGGAUUCUGAGGAUACUUCAGAUUCAGCAGGAAGCGUGUCCUGAUCGAUCAGCAGCGAUGCCCCUGCUCUGAGGAAUUUGAUCGCACAUGGGAAGUUUGUCAGAGAUUGAAAUGCACGCAUGUGUUUUGUAAGCAGAGAGCUCACCUAGGGAGAGGAAUGUUUCAGCUCAGCGAGUCAACCUCUUUCUGCUCCCAGUUACUCGUAGACUGGCCGAAUGAGAGCCCGUGGUUAGGAACUUGUGCAGCACGCAAGACCCAUCACCGUCA
Molecule: non-coding RNA, 416 nt
Organism: Heterocephalus glaber (naked mole-rat)
Lineage: Eukaryota; Metazoa; Chordata; Mammalia; Rodentia; Bathyergidae
Source: RefSeq, a predicted model, not a curated record